Molecule: ribosomal RNA, 402 nt
Filed under: uncultured bacterium
Lineage: Bacteria
Description: bacterial SSU rRNA
Rfam family: Bacterial small subunit ribosomal RNA
Source: RNAcentral
UGGGGAAUAUUGCGCAAUGGGGGCAACCCUGACGCAGCAACGCCGCGUGAGCGAUGAAGGUUUUCGGAUCGUAAAGCUCUGUUCUGAGGGAAGAUAAUGACGGUACCUCAGGAGAAAGCCCCGGCUAACUACGUGCCAGCAGCCGCGGUAAUACGUAGGGGGCAAGCGUUGUCCGGAUUCACUGGGCGUAAAGAGCACGUAGGCGGUUAAUUAAGUCAGGUGUGAAAGUUUUCGGCUCAACCGGAAAAGUGCACUUGAAACUGGAUAACUUGAGUAUCGGAGAGGUAAGCGGAAUUCCUAGUGUAGCGGUGAAAUGCGUAGAGAUUAGGAAGAACACCGGUGGCGAAGGCGGCUUACUGGACGAUAACUGACGCUGAGGUGCGAAAGCGUGGGGAGCGAACA